Mus musculus (house mouse) is the source of this 2450-nucleotide RNA transcript. It is a transcript of the gene named epoxide hydrolase 3, with no coding region annotated. The transcript is spliced from 7 exons. The record is from RefSeq and is marked validated. Lineage: Eukaryota; Metazoa; Chordata; Mammalia; Rodentia; Muridae.
AGCUGCCACUUUAGAGUGAGUCAUGAGAGGUGGCAGUAUCUGUCCGAGCCGCGCAUCUGUUUCCUCGACCGGUCCAGUGGACUCCGAUAGCACGGUGGAAUCCCAAAACAAAGGUGGUGGGCUGCUGGCGCCAGCACCCCUGGCUCAGUCUCCCGACCACGGCGGCUCUGUAGUCGUCCCAGAGCGCAAGGAUAUGCCGGAGUUUGUGGUGACAGCGCUACUCGCACCCUCACGCCUCUCGCUGAAGCUGCUGCGAGCGCUGGUGAUGAGCCUGGUGUACUUGGCUGCCUUGGUGGCCGCGUUUGUCUACAGCUGCAUCGCGCUCACCCAUGUGAUGUGCCGUCCUCGCAGGGGCUGCUGCGGCCGCCAGAGGUUGUCUCCCCCAGAGUGCCUGAGAGACCCCACGCUGGGCGAGCAUUGCUUUCUAACCCUCAGGAGUUCCGGCCUGCGUCUGCACUAUGUCUCUGCUGGUCAUGGCAAUGGGCCACUCAUGCUAUUUCUGCAUGGCUUCCCAGAGAACUGGUAUGUCUGGGCCCCUGGAUCCUGAUGCUCACUGGACUAGGGAAAGGUUCAGCUGGCGCUACCAGCUGCGAGAGUUUCAGAGCCAUUUCCAUGUCGUGGCUGUAGACAUGCGUGGUUAUAGUCCCUCUGAUGCUCCAAAGGAAGUGGAUUGUUACACCAUUGACUUGUUGUUGGAUGACAUCAAGGAUACCAUCCUAGGCCUGGGGUACUCCAAGUGCAUCCUCGUGAGCCACGACUGGGGGGCCUCCCUUGCCUGGGAGUUCUCCAUCUACUACCCAUCCCUAGUGGAGCGUAUGGUUGUGGCCAAUGGUCCUCCCAUGUCAGUGAUCCAAGAAUACUCAAUCCACCACAUCGGCCAGAUAUUCCGAUCAAACUACAUGUUCCUGUUCCAGCUUCCCUGGCUGCCAGAGAAGCUGUUGUCUAUGUCUGACUUCCAGAUUCUCAAAGACACAUUCACUCACCGCAAGAACGGCAUCCCAGGACUGACUCCUUCUGAACUUGAAGCAUUCCUUUAUCACUUCUCACAACCUGGAUGCCUCACUGGGCCCAUCAACUACUACAGGAACGUGUUCAGGAACUUCCCCCUGGAGCCCAAGAAACUGUCAACACCCACGCUGUUGCUGUGGGGGGAAAAAGACUUCGCCUUCCAGCAGGGGCUGGUGGAAGCCAUUGGAAGACACUUUGUGCCCGGCCGGUUGGAAAGCCACAUUUUGCCAGGCAGUGGGCACUGGAUUCCACAGAGCCAUCCUCAGGAGAUGCAUCAGUACAUGUGGGCCUUCUUGCAAGACCUGCUGGGCUAGAAGCUCUUGUUUGCCAGCCUAACAUUGAUAUGUUGGAGCACAUAUCCCCUGUCCUUGUGUACCUGGGAGUCCAUGCAGUGUGUGCAUAAGGGUGCACUCCCAGAACUCCGAGUUACACACAGAAGCAUCUGUGGGCAUCUUGCCUCACCUGCGUGGAUGUCUUACUACUUAUCAAAACCUCCCUGCCCCCAAGGGCUACACAAACCAUAAAUUCUAACCUUUCUGUCUUGUUUUCCACCCCCGGUCUGAUGUUUAAGUCUUCCUUAAUAUUGCAUCCAAUAUAUUUCUAACACACAGGAAUACUUCAAUUUAAAUGUUAAUGAGCUAAAACGAACCACUAUGAAAAAUACAAUGUCUCUGAAGCCAGGAAGACCGACAGCUGAGUGACUAAAAGCAUUUGGUGCUCUUGUAGAGGAUAUGAGUUCUAUUCUCAGCACUCACAUGGAGUUUCACAGCCAUCCAUAAAUCCAUGUUCAGGGGACAGGACACUCUUUCCUGCUGUCCCUGAGCAAUGGGCAUGCAUACAGCAUACACACAGACAUGCAAGUCAGACAUUCCUACAUACAGAAAAGUCAAUAAGGAAUGUGUGUGUGUGUGUGUGUGUGUGUGUGUGUGUGUCCCUGAGCAAUAGGCAUGCAUGCAGCAUACACACAGACAUGCAAGUCAGACAUUCCUACAUACAGAAAAGUCAAUAAGGAAUGUGUGUGUGUCUCCCUGAGCAAUAGGCAUGCAUGCAGCAUACACACAGACAUGCAAGUCAGACAUUCCUACAUACAGAAAAGUCAAUAAGGAAUGUGUGUGUGUGUCUCCCUGAGCAAUAGGCAUGCAUGCAGCAUACACACAGACAUGCAAGUCAGACAUUCCUACAUACAGAAAAGUCAAUAAGGAAUGUGUGUGUGUGUGUGUGUGUGUGAGUGUGUGUGUGUGUGUGUGUGUGUGUGUGUUUCAAGAUAGGGUUUCUCUGUGUAGCCCUGGCCAUUCAGGAACUCACUCUGUAGACCAGGCUGACCUUGAACUUGGAGAUCUGCCUGCUUCUGCCUCUCAAAUGCUGGAAUUAAAGGCGUGCGCCGCCACCACCCUGUAAGAAGUAAAUCUUCUUUAAAAAAUACAGUGUCUUGGUCACCACAA